AGUGAACGCUGGCGGUAUGCCUAACACAUGCAAGUCGAACGGCAACACAGUAAGAGCUUGCUCUUACGGGUGGCGAGUGGCGGACGGGUGAGGAAUACAUCGGAAUCUACUUUUUCGUGGGGGAUAACGUAGGGAAACUUACGCUAAUACCGCAUACGACCUACGGGUGAAAGCAGUGGAUCUUCGGACCUUGCGCGAUUGAAUGAGCCGAUGUCGGAUUAGCUAGUUGGCGGGGUAAAGGCCCACCAAGGCGACGAUCCGUAGCUGGUCUGAGAGGAUGAUCAGCCACACUGGAACUGAGACACGGUCCAGACUCCUACGGGAGGCAGCAGUGGGGAAUAUUCGACAAUGGGCGAAAGCCUGAUCCAGCAAUACCGCGUGAGUGAAGAAGGCCUUCGGGUUGUAAAGCCCUUUUGUUGGGAAAGAAAAGCAGCAGGUUAAUACCCCGAUGUUCUGACGGUACCCAAAGAAUAAGCACCGGCUAACUUCGUG
Molecule: ribosomal RNA, 492 nt
Filed under: uncultured bacterium
Lineage: Bacteria
Description: partial 16S ribosomal RNA
Rfam family: Bacterial small subunit ribosomal RNA
Source: RNAcentral